This is a long non-coding RNA of Scleropages formosus (Asian bonytongue), 3744 nucleotides long. RefSeq lists it as uncharacterized. NCBI's taxonomy places the organism in Eukaryota, Metazoa, Chordata, Actinopteri, Osteoglossiformes, Osteoglossidae. The record is from RefSeq and is a predicted model, not a curated record. The transcript is spliced from 2 exons.
UUAAACAUAUGGUGGCUUUAUACAGAUUUAACUGUCAUCACAAGUUAAAUGCGCCACGAAAAGAGCACACUGCCAUAGGGCGAGACCACACAGUACGGCCGGAACAGCGCCUGUGAUCUCCGUAAACUCCACAACCAACAAGUACUCUGCUCAAAAUAUCUAGGGGUCGAUCAGAAAAGUUUUCCAAGCUCAUCAUGUAAAACGUAUCCGCUGCUCUACUCUCUUUUUGACCAUACAGGUUACAAACUCUCCUGUAGCACCUCAAACAUCCCAGUUGCCUGCUCCCCCCUUCUAGAUCAGUUUCAACCACACAGUCUGAAGCGGGGGACACGUCAAUUUCAACAGCGUUCUCUGGACUGGCAGCAUCAACCCCUCCCAGCUUCACUUUGCCUGCGACCCCUGCAAAUCAAGAAUCGCGACCUCCCUUUCCACAGGGGGCCUGGCUCAUCCCGGACAUACCAGCUAACGAGGAUCUGAUUCAUCCAUGUUCCCUGGCAGUCUCACUAAGCACCCAAUGGGAAGUCGAUGAUUACGAUGAACUGUUCCAAUUUUCCCUGGAACCACACAGGUUUAAUUUGGUACACUAGCAGGUUUCCCCUUUUUCCCCACCACAGUAUAAGGUAAGAAUCUCCACUUAUUCUGCAACUAGUGCUUACCCAUGACACCAAAACUCCUCUAUAGUACACGGUCUCCUUUCUUCAGAAUCUGUUCGACUAAUUUCUCAUGUGCUCUCUUGUUCCAUCCAUGACUCUUCUCAGCACCUUCUUUAGCUAACUAAAGAAGCCCUGCUUAGGUGUCCUCUCAAUUUUGUGAGGAACCGUUGAUACUGCACUUCCUUACCCCAAAACACAGAUCUAUAGGCAGACGAGCUUCCCUGCCAGACAUCAGCAAAACAAGGGGAGUAGCCAGUCGCCUUAUUUCUCAUGCAGUUAUAGGCAUGUACGAGUUGACUGAUCUUCUGACCGUUUCUGCUUCUGCCCAGGAUCCAAUGCUCCCAACAUGGACAGCAGAGUCCUGUUGAAUUUCUCUGGUUGGAAUUCCCCCUGGGGGUGGGCAGGGUGUCGUGGGAGACUUUCUGAUCCCCGACAUUCUUAGGAGAUUGUGGGUCAGCUUUGACUCACAGUCAUGUCGCUGAUCAGAGUGAAUGUGAGCAGGGAGUCCAUAGUGUACAAAGUUCUUCUCAAACAGUACUAUGAGGACGGCAGAGGCCUUCUGAUCCUUUGUCGGAAAAGCCCGAGCGUAGCGAGCGAAAUGGUCAGUCACAACAAGCAUGUUCUCAAAUCCCUGUGAAUCUUGCUCGAGUGACAGGAAGUCAGUGCAUACCAAAUCAAGUGGACCUUUACUCGUAAUUUUGUUCGACGGAGCAGCUCUCUGAGGACAAGUCUUGCGAGCAAUGCAUCUGCCACAAUUCCUGACAUACUCCUCAAUAACUGCACCUAUCUUCGGCCGAUAAAAACGGUCCUCGAUGAGCUCUGAUGACUUCUCCGAUCCUAAAUGGCCACAAUCAUCAUGAAGUGACUGGUGUACCAUUCGAACAUAUAUUCUGGGCAAAAUAAGCCGCUGUACCUGAGUGCUACCUGGCCUCUGCACUACUCUACAAAGCACUGACUGGCUCACUUUAACAUUCUCUCUUCUUGAUAACGCGGUUGUGGUAAUGCACAAACUAUUUUCUAUGAGAUGUAUGUCGCUUUGGAGAAAAACAUCUGCUAAAUGAAUAAAUGUAACGCCAAGAACACCACAGACCCUGGUGAAGAGCAGCUAAAUUUUCACUGAGAAGUCUUUCGUCUUCAUUAUAUCACUUAUGAAAAGCUGACAUAUCAGCAGGGACAAAGCUACAUAGAAGAGGUCUGUCUGUCAUUUAUGACCAAAACCUUAUUCCUUAAGGAAGACCAGGUACAUGAAGACAAAGUAUCAACCAUCAUGAAAUGUGACGUGUUUCCUUUUAUGAGCAGAUCUGCACAGCAUUUUCUUCCUUGGCUUAAUUAACAAACCAAGGAUAGACCCUAAAGAUGUUCUGAAUAAAGAACUUGCCUUAAAGACAGAAGUUUCCAGAUGCAGUUCAGACAUACAGAACUAGACUACACUCAAGACCACCAUACUCAAUCCUGCUAGAUGUAGUAAAAGAAUGCUCAUCUUCAACAUGUUGAACUAUUUUAAAAACAAAUACAAAACAUGCAAAACAAAAAUGAUGAAAUGUAAAUCACAUAUACGUAUGUAUUAUAUACUGUUUUUAGUAUGUUCUGGUCAUUUCCGCAGUGUGUGGAAAUGAUUUCACUUUAGCAUCAACUGUUGUGAGCUACUGCUACUUCUCAGACUCACAGCAAACAACCAUGAACUAUUUUCGUGUGUCUCUACUCUAGCCUGCCAGGGGAGCGUUCAACAACAGAACUUUAUCGAUCAGGUUUGUAUUAUGACGUGGAAUCGGAACGUGGCGUUCGCUGUGUGUUUGGCCAACAGCAAAAAUAAGUCAAUGCAACUUCCAAAGCCUGUAUUCUGAAGCAUUUCAUAUGCUCAAUAACCUACCACAGGGAUUGUUCCAAUAGACCCACUCAGCAAUACUACUCAAAACCUCCUUGUUUCAAAAUGCUUAAAAAUAUUUGCGUUAUGCAUGUGUUAAAACGCUCUGUGUCACUGUGUGAGAAGAGUGCUCUAUAAAAAUAAAUUGAACUGAAUUUCCAAAUGUAGUAUCCUCACCUCCACCCCAAAAUACUGUAGACCCUUGAACAACAUGGGUUUGAACGGCACUGAAAUAAGGGAAAGCUUAACUGAGAACACUAAAAUGAUACAUUUACAAUGAACUUAAUACGUUUUUUUAUGAGAGCGAAUAACCGUGAGAAUUACGUCACUAUUCCAUCCACAGUUGCUAUGGCAUUUCCGGGGUGUGCAGAGGAUGCCUCACUAAAUGCAUGUUUUCAUGGGGUAUUCCUUAAUUAUUUCCGGAUCCUGUCUGGCAGUGACGUAGUGGACAAUGACCACUACCCCCUCAGUCAUUCAACCUUCUUGUUGAAUGCUUACGGCACCUUUGAAAAACUUGCUCCAAUUCAGCCAACGACACUCCUCAGACAACCCCGUAUAACUUCUUGAAAGGUAUACUUUAAGCUUUAUUUAUGUGUUGAAAACAUGUUUGUAAAGUUUCAUGAAAAUCUACAAGACAAGGUUGUUUAAGGCCCCGAAAAUUCUAGGCGUAAAAGCGUCCUUCCAUCAUGGCAGCGACAAAAGGCAAGAUUAACAGUCUUUUAUAACCCCGUUCCUCUGGUUCAGAAGCAACCUUCUGAAUCUCACAUAUAUGAAACUUCCUCAACACGUAGAUAACACAUGUAGAAAAAAAUACAGACUUGCUAUGAAACCUACCUGACUUGCUGUUGCUCAGAUUUGUAUGUCAUCAUUGUUUUAUUGUAACCAUGGUCUCUCUGGUUUCCAUGGCGCUGAAACGCACAUGGCGGAUCGUUCUUCCUUGAUGUAAGCAUAGUAACCACGAAACAAUGAGGACGCUCCAAUUCUGAUAAACAGCAAUUUAUUUUGGUUUAACAACUGUCCUCAAUGUAUCUCAAUUAUUUUGCGUAUGGUCAACCUGAAAGUACAAUCUGAUCUGACAAUUCUCCAGGAAUUCACCUAACUGACUAACAUUUUAACUACAGAUUAGAGCUGAAACAGAUUUGAAAACUGAACAACAUGUUGUAUGGGAAUGCCCUCCACGUUGAAUUAAAGAAAGAAAGGGGGAAAAAGAAAAAAAAAAAAAAAAAA